UACAGUGCUAAUUUUUCAUGGCUGAAUGAACGUUUCCCAUAUUCAUCCCAUGCAUGUUCUACAAGUAGACCUCUUAGUUUUUUUCAUCAGACAUGUCUUCAUACUAAUACCUGAGGAUAUACUCAUACACUUGUGAGCAUAGUGGUCAUUGAAGGAUAUAAAGGAUACAUUUCAGUGAAAAAUACAUUAAUUGUAAUUUUAGAUCUCACAGAUACAAUAUUAUACCCAAUUGUUUUGGUAAAAUAUAAAAUAUGAGGUUGUGCUGAGUAAAUAGAUACCCAACACGUCCUUCCUUAUAAUUGUAUGUGUCAUUGAAAUGAUGAAAAACAUUGGUACUCAAAAACAUCCCGUAGAUGACACUUUAACCCCUCCACUGCCAUGGAUGUCAUACUGAUCUACAGAACUAAUGUCCCCCCUGCAGCAUCGACCCCCCCCCCCACCCCCACAUCGGAGAAAUGUUUUCCUUAAAAGGUUGUUUCAUGGUGUCAAAGUAUUACUUCAUCAGGGCAGGUGUAAGAAGACGAUAUAAAAAUAGUGAUUGAUGUAAAAGUCCAGUAUAUCGUAUUAUAAAGAUCUGAGUCAGGUACAAUUCAUGGACAUGACUGAGAUUUAUAACAUUUAGGAUUUGUAUUGUGUUAGAAAAGGUGAAACGAUCUAUGGAGAGGGUGAUCAAUACAUGGAGAAAUGGACUUUGUAGGCACUGGUUGAAAAAGUAAAAAAUAUUUUUAAUAAAUGAGAAAAAACAUACAGUUUCAAGACAAGAUGCUAGUGCAUCAAUAAAUACAUCAUAUUAAAAAAUGUUGUAAGAAUAUGAAACCAGGUAGAAAGACACCAGGUAGUGAUUGCUGUUGUUGUUGUCACUGAUAAGGACUAGUUUGCAGAUUUGUUGACUUCUUUUUGAUGCCACAUGUUAUGAGACUGCCUUCAUAUGUUAAAGAUACACUUGAUCUCUUAAAAAAACUAGAUGGGCUUACCAUUCCACCACAUGCUAUAUUUGUCACCAUAGAUGUGGAAGCUUUAUAUUCAAGCAUGUCACACAACACAGGUAUAAAAAUGGUAAAAUCCUUUCUAAUGGAACAAGACCAUAGACAAUGGAAAUUCCAAAUGCUUAUCAUUACAAUUUUGUCAUUUAUCCUUAAACACAAUUAUUUUUCAUUUCAUGGCUCCCACUACCUCCAGGUACAAGGUGUUGCCAUGGGCACUUGCAUACGCCAAUUUAUACCUGGGGGGGUGGGAGCGUGAGUUUUGGGCUAAUGAAGAAUACCAACAAUAUCUGUGCCAGACACUAUGCUGGUACAGAUAUAUUGACGACAUAUUUGUCAUCUGGACAGGGACCCCAUCAUCUUUAAAUGAUUUUCUACUCAAACUUAACACUAACAAUUUUAAUGUAAAAUUUACAUAUAACUGGCAACCUAAUUCAAUACCCUUUUUGGAUGUCUUGGUUUUCCGAGAUUGUAAUGAUAACAUCAGCACAAAAUUGUACUGGAAAAACACGGCAGGCAACACAUUGUUGCAUGCCGAUAGUGCGCACCCCCUAUUGGUACAUAGCAUCCCCUAUGCGCAAUAUAUUCGUCUGCACAGGAACUGCACCUAUGAUGCAGAUUUUAAAAACCAGGCCAGGGAACUUCGUAAUAGACUUUUACUAUGUGGUUACAGUAAAAGUCUUCUAAGAAAAGCAUACAAUAAAGCUUAUCAGAGAAAUAGAACAUCUUUACUGUACUCACAAUCCAAAGUUACCGAUCAUUUACAAACAACUAAAUUUAUCACGAAAUACACUGCACAGCAUGGACUACUUCGAAACUGUUUGGAGGGACACUGGUACCUCCUAAGUGAGGAUUUUACCCUAGGCAAAUAUGUAAGAGAUAGACCAGAAAUUGUAUUCCGUAGGUGCCCUUCUAUAGGAAACAAACUUACCGCAAGUGAAUACAAACCCAAACAGGAUAAAACUGGGUUUGUUCAAGGUCUAACUAGAUGUGGACAAUGCACGUAUUGUCCAUGGGUACAACCUGGUACAAAAUUUGAGCUACCAAAUGGCGAACUUUAGGCCUUGUGCACCACAAAGGGAGUAGUGUAUCUCAUGCUUUGCCGAUGUGGAGCUUUCUACGUCGGCAAAACUAUAAGAGAAUUCAAAAACGCAUAUAUGACCAUAUUUACUAUUCACAAUCCGGUAAAAUGAUUACACCGGUGAGUAGACAUUUGGGCCUGUACCAUAAAUUUGACGUAUCCUUGGUCAAGUUUAUCAUUCUUGAGGUUAUUCCUGAAGAUUUAAGAGGUGGUAAUUGGGAUAAGCGUAUCCUCCAGAGGGAAACCUUGUGGAUCGAGCGUUUGGGAGCAACAUGCCCCCCAGGUAUAAAUGAGGUACUGUCAUAUAAACCAUUUUUAUAAACAGGUUAGUUUAUCUAUAUAUGUGUUCUAUAGGAGUCUGUGUGUAUACACACAUGCAUGUGUGGAUCCUCUCGUGAUCAUGUAACAUGGAACCCCGUAUUGAGAGUUCCUCUAGUAAAUCUAUAAAUUUGAUACUAGUCACCACACUAUGCUAGUGGUCAGUUUGUAUUGUUAGUGUUUGCAAAGAUUUGAAGGUCACCAUAAUUCAACACAAUGCUCAUUAUCCCUCUCAGAUAAGCUCUGAAUUACCUUCUUCUGUUUAAUUUUUGGUGGUUUAAAAAAUAUAUAUAAACAUAAAAAAUAUAUAUAUUAAAAUUAAUAUCUAAAUUUUACAGUACAAUAAGGAUGUCUCUGUAUUGGAUUGGACAACGUUAUUCGCCAAUAAUAGAAGAAAUUUAUUUUAAACUCUGAGAUGAAUCGUUUUUGAUAACUAUAUAUCUCAAAAUUAACAGUGUAGUAAAUAUGUGAAUUUGCACUAUACUGCUGUAUGUACAAAUUUUGUUAUAUUCCAUUGUAUUUUAUUAUUAAUUAAAUUGCUUUUCUUUUCAUGUGAUCCCGCUAUGGCGAGGUUCUGAUUUGCACAUAUAAAAGUUUAUUCUUGUAGAUGCUGCUGCAGCUGUACUCCUCCGGGGGGAGCACCGUCACUCCCACCAUUUUCAUCGCUAUGGAUAAGUUUUAGCUCUUGGUUUAGUAUCGCAUUCAAGUGGCCACCCAAGCCAUUGUGUGGAUGAUCCCUCCCCUAUCCUCCCUGUGUGGAGUCAGGUGGCGGCCCUCCGCCAAUAGCAAACGGACUGUAUUCCAUCUCAUUUCUUCGUCCACCUCGCUCUCCAGCGCCCUGUGACUUCCUACAAGUCCCAGGAGCGCUAGGGCCAACCGGCGCAUGCGCGAUGGACCUGUUCGGCCGGCUCGCGUGACAUCAGACGCCAGUCUGACAUGCCGCGAGCGGGGUAUAAAUACAAGCCAGGCGGGUGUGCACUCUCCAGGUCGAUGCGGAGAGUGCCACACCGCAUACAGUGGCUAGGCGUCCCCCUCUAUGCACCUCAAAUAGAUCUGAUCCACUGGGUCAUACCGGAGACAAAGUCCUAAUAAAACAACUUGCAGUGAGAAGACAUAUAGGACCCAUUUACACCGGCCCACACAAAGUAGAUAAAGUCUCCAGAACUGCUGUGCUUACUUCCCGGGGACCACAAUGGAUCCAUGCAUCCUGGAAAAAGAAGACCCACCUUUCACUUCCAACUCCAGAGGCACCGACAGAAGAGCAGAAAAGGAGGGAUCAACAAGCCGCACAACUGGAGGACUCAGGCCAAGAAAUGGAACAGGUCACAGUGCAACUACCUCGAACGUUGUCAAAAACUGGCCCCAAUUUGCACCCCCGUUUCGGUCCCAGACGACUUACCAACUCCACAUUGACCCAAGUUGCAAAAUAUUUUUCUUGUCACUAAUUGUUACAUGUUGUGUUCUCCUUAUUGCAAUCCCAGGAAAAUGACUAACCCCCGUGUGAAAAGGGGUGAGAAUGUCAGCAUGGAAAUGUUGACCAUAGAGCAGAAAUCGUAUAAUGAGUGAUCGGCAUAGGCUAGUGCCUACACGAUCAAAGGAGGGAUUGUAAGGCUUGCUAGAGUUCACCCAUAAUAUCAAUGCAUUGUAAGGCUUGCUAGAGUUCCCCCAUAAUAUCAAUGCUUGUAGAGAUGUAUCCUUUAACCCACAACCGUUAGGAUUAAUUACACAGAAGCUAGAAACAGCCUUGCAAAAUGUUAUUGUGUACGUGCAAUAGAACAAAUACAUCUUGCAUAACAAGAUAGGGCAUGCAGUAGAACAAGUCUUAGCUGGUUACACGCUCAGGAAUGUUGUAUAAUUGUGACGUACUGUAUUACUUGUAUAAGCGAAUUACUUUACUAUGAUUGACUGAACCAAGGGUGUUCCUUUUCUUGUAUGUUUUGAAUAAGUGCAGUGCGCACAAGGAAUAAAAUUGUAGUUUUUGAUU
Long non-coding RNA from Rana temporaria (common frog), 4366 nucleotides. RefSeq lists it as uncharacterized. The transcript is spliced from 2 exons. NCBI's taxonomy places the organism in Eukaryota, Metazoa, Chordata, Amphibia, Anura, Ranidae. The record is from RefSeq and is a predicted model, not a curated record.